AGCCCAGAUUUUUCGGACUGCAAAUUCGAUUUAGGGAUUUCCCCUGGGCUU
This 51-nucleotide transfer RNA is filed under the name Varanus pilbarensis. RNAcentral describes it as "tRNA-Cys". The record is from RNAcentral. Lineage: Eukaryota; Metazoa; Chordata; Lepidosauria; Squamata; Varanidae.